GAGGAGCGGCGCGGGGCGAGCGGCGCGGGGCCGAGCCGCCAUGUCGCGGCGGUGAGGGGCGGGCUGCGGCGCGGCUGCUGCUCCUUGCUCUGCCUUCCCCUCCGCGGCCGCCUCCGCCCCCGCUGGCGCUCACUGGAGGCCGGCAGACAUGGCAGGAAGGGAGGUUGUCCCCAGGAAAGCACCAGAGGGGUGGAGGGGCGCAGCGGUAUCAGCCAUGGUUGGCUCCGCUCCGGGGACGGCCCAGGAGCAGCCCUCGGUGGCUAGGAACGAGGUUUGAUUCUUUAGGAAGACGCCCGUGCACCAGAGAAGCAGGUUGCACGGCUACAGGAACAGUUCCCAUCAGAGCCCGGCGUGCAGGGAUGAAAACACUGAAAUGAUGGCAGACUUGCUGCAAAGAUGAGCUGGUUUCAGGGUCUCUGGGAAGAGGACAAGCAACAAGGAAGAUUAUUUUUCUUUACACAUGAGGAGCGCCUUCAGAAUGGGUUUAAUUGUCUGAGGAUCCAGUGAGGGAAGGUGGUUUUUAUUUGCCCACCAGAUCAUCUUUUCUGCAACUAACUUUAUGUCGCUGGAUGAGUUCUGAAGACACUAAAGGAGACAAAGAUGGACUUAAAUUCAAAUACAUCAAGGACAGCUAUUUAAAGCAGUAGUUUAAUGUAAGUAUUUUAAUAACAAGAAAAACAAAGCUUUCAACUCACAGGGACACAAAAGAUAAACUUGCUACGAGCAAGUUUGACUGAAUUAUGUGACAGUAAGAGAAGAUAAAGACAUAUUUUCAAAGGAAAAGCUCUACAAAUGUGGUUGCCACCAAGGUCACAUGUUUCUGUUAACUGCCUCAGGAAACAACAAUGACCACGAAGGGCAGCCAAAGCUGAUGGUGCUAGCACCUCUGCAAAACACCCCCGCAGCCAAGUCAGUCUCUGGUUGCAGGUAGAGUGGGCUUCCUUUUAAAAUUAAACUCAAGUUUUGUAUUUUUUAUCUCAUCUCAACACAUUCAAAACAUGAAAGCUAAUGUCUGAACGUCACCUGCAUUCUAAGUACUGUCACAAAGGUAUUGUGACAUUUUAAUACGCUAUUAUGUUACAAAUUGAUACAUAAAUGUGGGAUUUCCAGCAGUGCUUUGAGGAGUGAUGCCCUGUGUCAUGCCAACCUGCACGUUUUGUAGUUGUUUUCAAAUUGAAAUGUAAAAGCUAAAAAUGUAACACAUUUGUACUUAAAAUAAAGGUGACAGACGAAAGCAAAA
Long non-coding RNA from Pogoniulus pusillus (Red-fronted tinkerbird), 1240 nucleotides. RefSeq lists it as uncharacterized. The record is from RefSeq and is a predicted model, not a curated record. Lineage: Eukaryota; Metazoa; Chordata; Aves; Piciformes; Lybiidae. The transcript is spliced from 3 exons.